Mytilus californianus (California mussel) is the source of this 659-nucleotide long non-coding RNA. RefSeq lists it as uncharacterized. The transcript has 5 exons. Lineage: Eukaryota; Metazoa; Mollusca; Bivalvia; Mytilida; Mytilidae. The record is from RefSeq and is a predicted model, not a curated record.
ACUGAAGAGCCAGAGUGUACAGUCUAUGCUGACAAUUUUAGCGGGCGGUCUCUGACAUUUACUGAUGAUGAAGAAAACCUUAAAUGGUACAAAUUUGAUAACAAAAUAUCAUCAAUUGAGGUGAAAAGUGGCGCGUGGGUUGGAUAUCAACAUCCUAACUUUAGGGGAGAUCAAAGUCUGUUUCUGAAAGGGAGAUAUGAAGCUACUGAUAAACCAAAUGAUGUAGGCGGAUUUAAGGAUGACAGGAUUUCGUCAUUUAGCCAGAUAAUUUUGAAACCAGCAGCUGGGGUUAAGAUGAAGCUGCGGCAGAUUGAUUAUGACUUGGAUAAAGCACAUAUCCUCAGGACCCCUACGUCCGUGUUCAGCUGGACUCAAGUGAAUAAUACCUCAGAAGAGCAGAAUGUAACAAAAACAGACGAAAUAACCAUAACAAGAGAAGAUACAUAUGAAUUCAGAUGGGACAGAGCAGCUAAAGUAUCAACAACAAUGACAGGAAAGGUUGGAAUUCCGUUAGUUGGUGAAACAGAAGUCAGUAUUAGCGCUGAGAUGUCUGUUAGUAUGGGGAGUACUGCAGGAACAAAAAAGUCAAAAACUAAAAAAUUGGUUGCAGAGUAUCCGUCAAAAAUCCCGCGGUAUUCCACAGUUUCGAUGACAUCGAA